CUGCAACCCGGCUUGAGCGGAAAUCCUUUUUUGUGGCUGGAAAAGCGACGGCAAAAAGAUUGGGAGCGGAAGACGGAAAUAGU
RNAcentral lists this small RNA (83 nucleotides) under Epilithonimonas xixisoli. RNAcentral describes it as "Chryseobacterium xixisoli Flavo-1 RNA". The record is from RNAcentral. Lineage: Bacteria; Pseudomonadati; Bacteroidota; Flavobacteriia; Flavobacteriales; Weeksellaceae.